This 1380-nucleotide ribosomal RNA is filed under the name Streptococcus thermophilus. Its description in RNAcentral is "bacterial SSU rRNA". It matches the Rfam family "Bacterial small subunit ribosomal RNA", at positions 73 to 1440 of the family's 1533-position model. The record is from RNAcentral. Lineage: Bacteria; Bacillati; Bacillota; Bacilli; Lactobacillales; Streptococcaceae.
GAGGAGCUUGCUCUUCUUGGAUGAGUUGCGAACGGGUGAGUAACGCGUAGGUAACCUGCCUUGUAGCGGGGGAUAACUAUUGGAAACGAUAGCUAAUACCGCAUAACAAUGGAUGACACAUGUCAUUUAUUUGAAAGGGGCAAUUGCUCCACUACAAGAUGGACCUGCGUUGUAUUAGCUAGUAGGUGAGGUAAUGGCUCACCUAGGCGACGAUACAUAGCCGACCUGAGAGGGUGAUCGGCCACACUGGGACUGAGACACGGCCCAGACUCCUACGGGAGGCAGCAGUAGGGAAUCUUCGGCAAUGGGGGCAACCCUGACCGAGCAACGCCGCGUGAGUGAAGAAGGUUUUCGGAUCGUAAAGCUCUGUUGUAAGUCAAGAACGGGUGUGAGAGUGGAAAGUUCACACUGUGACGGUAGCUUACCAGAAAGGGACGGCUAACUACGUGCCAGCAGCCGCGGUAAUACGUAGGUCCCGAGCGUUGUCCGGAUUUAUUGGGCGUAAAGCGAGCGCAGGCGGUUUGAUAAGUCUGAAGUUAAAGGCUGUGGCUCAACCAUAGUUCGCUUUGGAAACUGUCAAACUUGAGUGCAGAAGGGGAGAGUGGAAUUCCAUGUGUAGCGGUGAAAUGCGUAGAUAUAUGGAGGAACACCGGUGGCGAAAGCGGCUCUCUGGUCUGUAACUGACGCUGAGGCUCGAAAGCGUGGGGAGCGAACAGGAUUAGAUACCCUGGUAGUCCACGCCGUAAACGAUGAGUGCUAGGUGUUGGAUCCUUUCCGGGAUUCAGUGCCGCAGCUAACGCAUUAAGCACUCCGCCUGGGGAGUACGACCGCAAGGUUGAAACUCAAAGGAAUUGACGGGGGCCCGCACAAGCGGUGGAGCAUGUGGUUUAAUUCGAAGCAACGCGAAGAACCUUACCAGGUCUUGACAUCCCGAUGCUAUUUCUAGAGAUAGAAAGUUACUUCGGUACAUCGGUGACAGGUGGUGCAUGGUUGUCGUCAGCUCGUGUCGUGAGAUGUUGGGUUAAGUCCCGCAACGAGCGCAACCCCUAUUGUUAGUUGCCAUCAUUCAGUUGGGCACUCUAGCGAGACUGCCGGUAAUAAACCGGAGGAAGGUGGGGAUGACGUCAAAUCAUCAUGCCCCUUAUGACCUGGGCUACACACGUGCUACAAUGGUUGGUACAACGAGUUGCGAGUCGGUGACGGCGAGCUAAUCUCUUAAAGCCAAUCUCAGUUCGGAUUGUAGGCUGCAACUCGCCUACAUGAAGUCGGAAUCGCUAGUAAUCGCGGAUCAGCACGCCGCGGUGAAUACGUUCCCGGGCCUUGUACACACCGCCCGUCACACCACGAGAGUUUGUAACACCCGAAGUCGGUGAGGUAACC